Meriones unguiculatus (Mongolian gerbil) is the source of this 2185-nucleotide long non-coding RNA. RefSeq lists it as uncharacterized. The transcript is spliced from 2 exons. Lineage: Eukaryota; Metazoa; Chordata; Mammalia; Rodentia; Muridae. The record is from RefSeq and is a predicted model, not a curated record.
CGCGCGCGAGCGUCCGCGGAGAGCCGCUCUCCGAUCGCGGCGAGCGCGAGGCACCGGCCAGCGGGGACGGGCCACCGGCUGCGGAGCGCUCGCGGCCUGGGGCGCCCGCGGAGAGACCCCAGCUCUCCGGUUGUGGACCUCAGCCCCGCGCGCUCGCACGGUGCCCGGCCCCGGAAAGUCCAAGCCCGGGAGACGUCCGAGCCGCGGUCCGCGCGAGGGCCAGGGACCGGUGCGACGCUCGAGCGGGCCCUCGCCUGCCGGAAGCGCCCGCGCCUCGUGCUCCCGCCUCGUCCUCCCCCGGCCGGCCGGCGCGAGCAGGUGGCUGGGUUCCCAGCGCUUCCCCGUGCGGCCCCGGAAUCUCCAUCGGUCUGUCUGGGACUUUGAACUCCCUGGACGAGAUAAGGUCAUAACGUUAUCGCUCCUUCCCCGGGCAGUGCUUCCUACCACGCACACACCCUGGUAAAGUUUAAACGGAGGGGCCCCACCCGCCGAUUUCAGUGGCGCGCACGUAGUCAGUCCUUCACAUGCCGCUUUGUAAUACAGGAGUGACUCGCGGGCCCCGUGAAACGUGUCGGCCCCCUGUGGGAGACAGUGCGCUCGGGAGAGCCCCAGGUUUUGAGGUCCUUUCCUGACCAGGGUCGCCCCGUACCUAGCUUUGCAAGGUUGUCUAUGCAUUCGGCAGACGGGAAGCCUGGUAAAGACCUGUGGUGCUGAGCUUCCUGGGAAGCCGGCCUCUUUACCAGCCCCUGCUUGGCGGGAGCGUGCAGGCCGCCGCAGGGUGGAGACGGCGGCCACAGCGCCGCUGAGGAGGGCAGUGUAUGGCUCGGGCUGUCUUACAGAAAGGACUGUCAAAUGCCUCUCCUGGCAAAGGUAUGGAGGUGAGUGCUGAAGUUUCGAAGGAAAAGACCAACCACAAAGUAUCCAGCUGAGCUCGUCUAAAAGCCAGUGUGAGCCGGCUUCCUCAGCAGGCAGGAGCACUCUGCCCUUGCGCUGGGUCCCCGAGGCUCAGAGCCCUCUUCUGGCCUCCCUGGGCAUUGCACUCAUGCAGGGACCACACGCCUCAUUUCGCUGGGAAUUCUUCCGGGUUCGCGGAUUCUGUUUCUAAGGAAACAGACUCGAGGAAUCCUUGCUCUCCAGUUCCCACUUUUUGACGGCUGCUGACAUAAUUCUUAUAUCCGUCUUGAUAAAAAUGAAAGGGACAGACAGUCCAAGGAGCUGAGAUGGUCAGCCAACCUUCCUGCUGCUUGUAUAUGUUUGCCAGUUUAAUUUCCUUAACAAGCCACAAGAUUGAACCUACAAGGAUGCUUUGCAGGCCGGUAAAGUUCAACAGCCAGCUUAGUCAAGAUGCAGAGCUGCCCUUAUUUCCUCCUUCCCUUUCUACUCCAGCCUUCGUGUUACAGCUUUUCUUUUUAUGCCAAGUGAAUAGUCAUAAUCUGCAACAAAUAGGUAUUGAUUCUAUACAUAGCUCAGGGCCUGAUGUUAGAGCCAGAGCGCCGUUGGCCGCGGUAUGAGGCUUCAGGACAAGCAGCAGUGUGAGAGCAGACAGGCACUCUGGCAUCCGCAGGGAGAGCUGGUGUCUGCAGAGCAACCCUGGGGAAGCCAGCAACAGCUCUGCCAGAGCUGUCGGGUGGGGAAGAGGACGGGCAGUGUCGCUUGGCCAUCGUGCCCUGGACUGAUGGAUAAAGCUCAGAGUUCCAGCUCCAGAAAAAAAGAAAAUGGGGAAAUAAAGAAACAGUGCCAGUGACUGGGAACCCAGAGAGAUGGAACAGGGCCUGCCUGGAAAGCAGCCAUGCCCUCUGACCUAGCACGGUCCCUGCUUAUGCAAUGCACACAUAUACGCCACUCUCCUGUGCUGGUCCUGUUUGCCUGGGGCUGGGCUCAUCCUCAUGUGUCCAGCCGAUGGCUGUGCUUCCCCGUCACCCACAGCAGAAGCCUCUCACAACAGCGCAUGGACUUGUACAACAACAAAUGGCACCCCUGCAACUUUCGGGUUUUUGGUUGGCCGCUUAUUUGUUUGUUUCUUUAGCUGCUUGGUAUUGUUGUUUUGAAACAAAUUCUGUCUGUGCAGCCCUGUCUGUCCUGGAACUCACUCUGUAGACCAAACUGGCCUUGAACUCACAGAGAUCCACCUGCCUCUGCCUCCCAAGUGCUGGAAAUAAAGGCCUGUGCCACCGCACCUGGAAAA